This 62-nucleotide microRNA precursor is filed under the name Heliconius melpomene (postman butterfly). Its description in RNAcentral is "Hme-Mir-8_pre stem-loop". It matches the Rfam family "mir-8/mir-141/mir-200 microRNA precursor family", at positions 6 to 67 of the family's 72-position model. From Rfam's summary of the family: The bounds of the precursors are predicted based on conservation and base pairing and are not generally known. The record is from RNAcentral. Lineage: Eukaryota; Metazoa; Arthropoda; Insecta; Lepidoptera; Nymphalidae.
CAUCUUACCGGGCAGCAUUAGAGUCUUACCGUUAUUUUCUAAUACUGUCAGGUAAAGAUGUC